UACAGAGGUCCCAAGCGUUGUUCGGAUUCACUGGGCGUAAAGGGUGCGUAGGUGGUUGGGUAAGUUUGGUGUGAAAUCUCCGAGCCUAACUCGGAAAUGGCAUCGAAUACUAUUCAGCUUGAGGAUUGGAGGGGAGACUGGAAUUCUCGGUGUAGCAGUGAAAUGCGUAGAUAUCGUGAGGAAGACCAGUGGCGAAAGCGAUUCUCUGGGCAGUUCCUGACACUGAGGCACGAAGGCCAGGGGAGCAAACGGG
Molecule: ribosomal RNA, 253 nt
Filed under: uncultured bacterium
Lineage: Bacteria
Description: partial 16S ribosomal RNA
Rfam family: Bacterial small subunit ribosomal RNA
Source: RNAcentral